Molecule: ribosomal RNA, 579 nt
Filed under: Kwoniella heveanensis
Lineage: Eukaryota; Fungi; Basidiomycota; Tremellomycetes; Tremellales; Cryptococcaceae
Description: partial large subunit ribosomal RNA
Rfam family: Eukaryotic large subunit ribosomal RNA
Source: RNAcentral
GUGAACCGGGAAGAGCUCAAAUUUGAAAUCUGGCGUCCUUCGGGCGUCCGAGUUGUAAUCUAUAGAAACGUUUUCCGUGCCGGACCGUGUCCAAGUCCCUUGGAACAGGGUAUCAGAGAGGGUGACAAUCCCGUACUUGACACGACGACCGGUGCUCUGUGAUACGUUCUCUACGAGUCGAGUUGUUUGGGAAUGCAGCUCAAAAUGGGUGGUAAACUCCAUCUAAAGCUAAAUAUUGGUGGGAGACCGAUAGCGAACAAGUACCGUGAGGGAAAGAUGAAAAGCACUUUGGAAAGAGAGUUAAACAGUAUGUGAAAUUGUUGAAAGGGAAACGAUUGAAGUCAGUCGUGACCGUUGGGUUCAGCCGGUUCUGCCGGUCUACUCCCUUCGGUCGGGUCAACAUCGGUUUUGACCGGCGGAUAAGGAAGGGAGGAAUGUGGCACCCUCCGGGGUGUGUUAUAGCCUCUCGUCGCAUACGUCGGUCGAGACCGAGGAACGCAGCUCGCCUUUAUGGCCGGGGUUCGCCCACGUCCGAGCUUAGGAUGUUGACAUAAUGGCUUUAAACGACCCGUCUUGAAA